Molecule: ribosomal RNA, 557 nt
Filed under: uncultured bacterium
Lineage: Bacteria
Description: bacterial SSU rRNA
Rfam family: Bacterial small subunit ribosomal RNA
Source: RNAcentral
ACGGGUGAGUAACGCGUGGGAACGUGCCUUCUGGUCUGGAAUAACCCUGGGAAACUAGGGCUAAUACCGGAUACGCCCUUCUGGGGAAAGGUUUACUGCCGGAAGAUCGGCCCGCGUCUGAUUAGCUAGUUGGUGGGGUAACGGCCUACCAAGGCGACGAUCAGUAGCUGGUCUGAGAGGAUGGUCAGCCACACUGGGACUGAGACACGGCCCAGACUCCUACGGGAGGCAGCAGUGGGGAAUAUUGGACAAUGGGCGCAAGCCUGAUCCAGCCAUGCCGCGUGAGUGAUGAAGGCCUUAGGGUUGUAAAGCUCUUUUAUCCGGGACGAUAAUGACGGUACCGGAGGAAUAAGCCCCGGCUAACUUCGUGCCAGCAGCCGCGGUAAUACGAAGGGGGCUAGCGUUGCUCGGAAUCACUGGGCGUAAAGGGCGCGUAGGCGGCGUUUUAAGUCGGGGGUGAAAGCCUGUGGCUCAACCACAGAAUGGCCUUCGAUACUGGGACGCUUGAGUAUGGUAGAGGUUGGUGGAACUGCGAGUGUAGAGGUGAAAUUCGUAGA